UAUUAUUAUUUUAAAAGUUGAAACCCUAUUCUCUCUCCACAUUCUUAGCUAGCCAAACUCAGCCGCCCCUCUUUCUUUCUUUCUCUGAUCUCUUCUUUCUUCUCCUCAUACCCUAUGUUUCUUUCCCUCAUACCACCACCAUCUUCAUCAGCUCCAUCUCCCUUCACCCAAAAACAGUCAGACCCUGUUGCCCCUCCCUCACCAUCUCCCACCUCAACGGUCCUACCCGGGUCAUGAGGACCCAAGUGCAAGUGUCUGAAUCACCCAGACCCAUCUCGGCGUCCCUCGUGCGCGACCCUGAAGUCAGGUGACCCGAACCCAGACACGACCCCAACUUAGCCCUCACCACCAUCUGACCACCCUUGCGCCACCUCACCUCGCCUGUUUUCACACCAAACCCAAACUAGACCAGGAGUGAUUUCUGCCUCUCUUCUCUUCUUUUCACAUGUAUAUAUAUUUUACCCUAACAGAGAUGGUCAAUGGCAACAAGACCUUUGGGAAAACCAUUUGCUCAAUCUGCUACGAAGAUCUGAAGGCCAUUGUUGAAGAUCUUCAAGCUAUAUCCAUUUGCGGCCAUGUCUUCCACGAGCUAUGGUUGGUCUUGGAAUGACUGAGAAAGGACAACAAAGAGCUCAAACAAGAGAGAUGGAUAUAUUGAGAGACAGAAACUUGGCAUUGUGUAAUGCUUUGGCUAGCUCAAGGAAGGUGGAAAUGGUUAUGUAUAAAAUGGCUGGUCAUGCAUUUCCAAUCCUGCAUAAUUCUAAUUUUUCUCAACUUCAAACUCAGGAAAUGAUGUCCCAUUUCAAGACUUUUAUCCACCAAUAAGUAUUGGUGAAUUAAUGGUUUUUGUAAUUUUUUUUAUAUGCUUUAGGGUAUAAAAAUGGUUUAUAGUGAUAUUUAGGAGGCUCACUAAUUAUGUUUAUAUUAGUUAAGUUUAAUUACAGAGCUUUUUUAUGGCAAGCAACCCAGAAAUGUAUUGAUUUUAUUUUGCUUUAUCUUUGCUUCUUUUAUGGGUUUUAGUUCCAAAAUUUCUAGUGGGUUUUUCAAUGGAGAAAAUAAUGGUAAAUUUGAAGCUCCUAUUGUGGGUUUUAUGCAAGUUCUCUAAUGGGAGUUAUCAUUUUUCUUGAACUAUAGUGGAGUCAUUGUAAUUGAGGAAGCACAAGCUGGAUUUGUUUGCCGAGUGCAGUCAUCUGACAAAAGCAAGUUUAAGGUUUAUUUAUGAAAUAUAUUGUAGGACUUUUGCAUGAAGUUUACUGCCUUUUGUUUUAUCUUUUCGUUUUGUUAUGGGUGGUGUGUUUUGUAUUUGUGCUUUUCUUAAAUAAUCACAAGACCUUUAAGAAGAAAGCAACUUCUUUUACUAUGUUUUCUACUAUGUAGUCCCUUUUGUUGAUGUUAGUACCCCUAUUAUGGUUUGUCUUUAAUAAAGUUUCCUCCAAACAUAUUAUUAGGCAAUAAAUAGUUUCUAAUAUUAGCUUUUUUGGGGUUACAGGUUUGUGUAAUAUUUGGCGUUGAAUUUCAAAAUUUCUGGUAGUUUUGGUUCUAUUCGUUUAUAAUUUUUUUUAUACUUUGUUGUUUUUGUUCUCUGGUUGUAAACUUAUUGUUUUGUUGUGGUAGAGACAAUACCUAGGGAGGCUGAAAAAUAGGACAAGUCUUCUAAUCAUAUUCCAAAAUGGUAGUAGUUUGGUUUGGGUCAAAGAUUGACCUUUAUUGAUAGCAUUCUGAGGUACCAAUAUUUUAAAUUUUAGUGCAGGUAUAGGAAGAACUAGAGCAUACUGUGUAAUUCAUAAACAGCAAGAGUCAUAAAAUUGUGGAGCAUAUGAAUGAGCGAUCCAGAUAUUGCUGUAAAGUUUUUUUUGUAAAUGGCAAAUACAUGUUUAUAUAUAUAUUAUGAAAGAAACAAAAUAGUCUCGACCCUUACAUUCUACGUUCCUUCACUGGAGGUUACUAGAAAAGCUCAUGGAGGAGAAAAUGUUUGGAGAAAUUUGAGUAUUAUGUUACAGGGCACAACUGUUUACAGUAAGGACAAUUCGUCUUGCUUAAAUAUAACACAACUGAUGAACAUCAUACAAACAAAUAUAGAAGAUGGGCAUAUUAUCAUGUAUAGUUUUUUUCUGAAAAUGAAAUGGCAAGAACACUUGGGAUAUGAAAACCCACAUUCAGAUACUGAAUCAAUCAUCAACGAGUGGACUGAAGGAGCAUGACAAACAGAAGGAUGCUAUUCUUACGUUGGGUGUCAUGAUAAUAUACAAGAGGAUGUACUAAUACAAGAGGAAAUGAAUGGACAUUUCAAAGGGCCAAAGGAAAAAGAGAAGUGUGUUACAUGCUCUUCAUUUUGUGUGACCUCUAUGAUUGAUAGAAUAUCAAACAAACUCACAUAUAAGAACUUCUAGCUCUUUUGGAAACCAAAAGGGAAAGGGAAUGAGGAAAAGAUCAGUCACUAUCCACAU
Molecule: long non-coding RNA, 2447 nt
Organism: Humulus lupulus (European hop)
Lineage: Eukaryota; Viridiplantae; Streptophyta; Magnoliopsida; Rosales; Cannabaceae
Exons: 5
Source: RefSeq, a predicted model, not a curated record